ACGUGGAAACGCGAUUUCCCGAGCUGCAGCCAGUCGUCUGAUCUCUUCGGCCAGGCCCGAGUCUCACGGGGCAACAACGAGCGUUUGCAUGACCACUUCCGCUUGCAAGCCGAGAGCACAGUCAGCUAGUCCUUCGCCCGACUCUUGUCUGACACACUAAACUGUUAAUGAAAGCGAACAGCUCGAAUGCACCUUCCGAUUCCUCCUCCACCAAACACGUUCGCUUUCAUCAACGAGCACAUGUGACGGGUCAGCCUCAGUCAGGCGAAUAUCAGUCUGUCGCACCUCCAGCUUGCCGCAUAGUCUUCGCGCUAAUGAGGAGGCCGGUGUUUUCUAAUCCUCUUUGCAAAUUGAUCAGACCAACGCGGGGAGAGACGAGUAGCAGUGGAAGGCAGCAACGUUGAAUUUAGAGUUUGGGACAAAGUGGAUGACUCGGAGGCUCCUGGUGGCUCUGCUGAUAAGCUGGUAGCGAUAGUUGGUCAGCUGGAGUAGACGUCUUGACUUGAAAUAUUAGAGUAGCAAGAGUAGGUUUUGGGUUUUGUUCGAUUAGACGCAUUCUCUUCAAUAUUGCACUGAGUAGCGAUAUUUGAUGUCAUACUUCACUCAAAUUGGAUGCUGUGAAGUAUUGGGAGUAGCAUUGUUAGUGUUAGGAAUAAAGUAUAUUAGUAUGUGGCUUGGGGAGUGAAUUCAUAUCACACUGAAUAUUUAUGUGUUAAGAUGACUCAAACUGAGCCAUGCAAAGUGUUAGAAAUUGUUCUUUCUACUAGAAAUUCUUGGUAUUCUAAAGAUCACUGAUACAGCUUGUGGAAAUCAGUGGGCCACAAUAUCAAACUGUAUGUUUGUCUGGUGUUGUAUGUAGUUCAAUCUAUUGGAAAUCACAUCUUGUAUCCUCUUUGUUGAUAUCCUGAAAUUCACUCAAGUGGCUUGAGACUUUGUUGCAUUGAAUAUUUAGAAUGCAAGCUUGAACUGGUUCACAGGAAAUUUGUUUGGUAAAAGGGUUCUUACUGCUAUCUUAAAGAUCAUUGAAGAAUAUUGGAAAAAUUCAAGUACUAUGAUGUCAUACAGAUAGGUAUCUUCAUUGAACUAGAUUUUCUUCUAUCAGGAAAAGUGUCCUCUUUAGUAUCUUAGAAUUUAUUGAGUUACUUUAGAAACUUGAGUCUUACUUUGGAAGUUGAAUGUUGAUACAAAAGGCAUGAUACAUGCUUUGCAACAACUAUUUAUCUUUGAGUACUUCAUUGUCUUGAUAAUCAAUUAACACAAUCUGACCAUCAUUGGAUUACUUGAGCAAUCUACAUGUAUAAGUAAUGACAAUAGAAUUUAAGUACACUAUGUAUCACAGAAAGAGGAAUAUAUCUUUCAAGCAUGAUUUAGAUAAAAUCGACUGCGCUAAUUGGGCAUGCCGUCUAUUACAAAUGAGCUACUUAUGUGCUCUUGCCAGUCCAAUAUGAUCAAUUACUCUCGUCUACGCUAUGUUUAUCAAUUGUAACAGGCAAUUAGCUUCCAACUGUUCGUGCAUGGCCAACUUGUGUAAGUCUUUGUUGUAAGAACGAUAAUUCCAAUUGUUUUUUCCUCCAGAAAAUUAUACUCUUAUAAUCUUGAAAUAUUUGAAAGACGACUAUUCAAAUUUCAAAAAUGUCUCAAAUUUCUCAUCUUAUUACGUCGAAUAAUGUUGAAUGGUAUAACGAAUGAAAAAAUUUCAAUUCACUUGAAAUAACUUAUUGGAAGAUAAGGUUGUCUUGUUUGACAAAUAAAUUACUUUCAGGUAAUUUAUUUGCCAAAUAUUUGGUCAUUUCAAAUAAGGAAAGAAAUAAAAUAAAAGCCUUAUUUUAAUAAUUAUCCGAAUAAAAGCUCAUAACUUUGUAUGACGCGCGAAUUUAAGAGCCUGUUAAUGAUACGAGAAUCUGUCAUUUAUUUCCUAUUGAAUAUUCAUUGCCCUUAAUACCGAUAAAACCAGUUUGCUACUUGAGAUUUCGGUUGGCAACUAAGUGAUUGCGGAUUUUGUCAUUACCAUCUAAUGAUAAAAUCCGCAAUCACUUAGUUGCCAAACCAAUAUUUCUAUGUCUUAUUAUCAAGAAUAUUAAUUACAAAAUAUGGUGUUGUGCAUAAUAUGUCAUUGAACGAUAUUACGCACGUAGUCUGAUCAUGGAAUUAUACUACACUUGUACUAUCACCUAUUGAUCUGCCAAGAAACUUAAUUACACACUACAAUAGUAUAAUUCUUAUCUGGAGGAAAGCUCCAUCAUAUGUGGAGUUUUUGGUAUUAUAAUGACUCCCAAUUGCACGUACAUUUCAAUUUUCUAGACGUAUCCUCCUCAUAAAAGAUAGUAAAAAUUUCCCUUCUAAAAAAAAAAAAAAAAAAAAAAAAAAGAAAAAAAAAAGAAAAAAAAAAGAAAAAAUCUCCAUAAACUGCAUUAAUAAUUUAUCUGUUUUAGUGAGGAGAAAAAGAAAGGAUAGAGGAAAUUGAUCAACAGACUGUGAAUUUUGAAGCGUUUAUGAGAAACUUGCAGUUUCUAAUGAAAUAUUCAAUGUAACGUAUUUGUUAUAAUAUUCGGAUAGGAUGAGGAAAAACUGAAUCUGUAUAAUCAUUCAUAGUUUAUUGAUCAAUCAUGCGACGAGUUCAUUUAGGAUACUAGAGGUAACUCGAGGUGUAGUAAAUGUGAGAAUUUAUUAAGAACUGUAUAUCUGGUGUACGACAUAUUUGCACAUGUUAAAUUAAUUAAAUAAAUAUAAAAAUCACGCGAAAUCCUAAAUGAAACGUUAGCCAGCCAACUGUGUCAUUAAAAGCAUCUUCUUCAUUCUUUUUUUCAAUUAUUUUAUCCUUGCUUUUUUUUUUAUUCCUUUCGCGUAACGACUUCUAUGAAUAUGAACGUGUCAUGAUCUCUGAUAUGAUUUAUAACUUUGGUUAGGAAAAAUAUAUAUCUCUAUUUUUAAUAGACGCAUGACCCAACGCUAAUUGCCUCGAACUUGUAUCAGAAAAAUAAAACGAAAUUUGUUGA
Molecule: long non-coding RNA, 2996 nt
Organism: Bombus huntii
Lineage: Eukaryota; Metazoa; Arthropoda; Insecta; Hymenoptera; Apidae
Exons: 2
Source: RefSeq, a predicted model, not a curated record